UAUUUGUCAAUGGGCGCGAGCCUGAACCAGCCAAGUAGCGUGAAGGAUGACGGCCCUAUGGGUUGUAAACUUCUUUUAUAUGGGAAUAAAGUUUGGUAUGUAUACCAUUUUGUAUGUACCAUAUGAAUAAGGAUCGGCUAACUCCGUGCCAGCAGCCGCGGUAAUACGGAGGAUCCGAGCGUUAUCCGGAUUUAUUGGGUUUAAAGGGUGCGUAGGCUGUGCGGUAAGUCAGCGGUGAAAUGCCCCCGCGCAACGGGGUGAAGUGCCAUUGAUACUGCCUUGCUGGAAUGCGGAUGCCGUGGGAGGAAUGUGUGGUGUAGCGGUGAAAUGCAUAGAUAUCACACAGAACACCGAUUGCGAAGGCAGCUCACUGGACUGCAACUGACACUGAUGCUCGAAAGUGUGGGUAUCAAAC
RNAcentral lists this ribosomal RNA (415 nucleotides) under uncultured bacterium. RNAcentral's name for it is "bacterial SSU rRNA". It matches the Rfam family "Bacterial small subunit ribosomal RNA", at positions 362 to 773 of the family's 1533-position model. The record is from RNAcentral.